UACGAAGGGGGCUAGCGUUGUUCGGAAUUACUGGGCGUAAAGGGCGCGUAGGCGGCCGGCUAAGUUAGGCGUGAAAGCCCAGGGCUCAACUCUGGAAUUGCGCUUAAUACUGGUUGGCUUGAGUACGGGAGAGGAUAGUGGAAUUCCCAGUGUAGAGGUGAAAUUCGUAGAUAUUAGGAAGAACACCAGUGGCGAAGGCGGCUCACUGGUCCGGUACUGACGCUGAGGUGCGAAAGCGUGGGGAGCAAACAGG
Molecule: ribosomal RNA, 253 nt
Filed under: uncultured bacterium
Lineage: Bacteria
Description: partial 16S ribosomal RNA
Rfam family: Bacterial small subunit ribosomal RNA
Source: RNAcentral